This is a long non-coding RNA of Hippocampus comes (tiger tail seahorse), 627 nucleotides long. RefSeq lists it as uncharacterized. The record is from RefSeq and is a predicted model, not a curated record. Lineage: Eukaryota; Metazoa; Chordata; Actinopteri; Syngnathiformes; Syngnathidae. The transcript is spliced from 3 exons.
GAAGGAGCGGUACUUUUGCAGCUCUUGCUCCAGACGGUCCUUCUCUUUGUCGAUGGUCGCCGUCUUCCUCCUCAUGAGGUCCACUUCCAGGGAUCUUCUGUGUCUUUUUCCCUUUAAUUACGAGGGUGCUCCCAAACCUGCAGCUGAUCAGCAAUCACCUCCUGCGUGUGAGAGCUCUCCUGAUCUUCAAGCGGGUUCCAGAUGAUUCACGCAUUAUGAGCGUGCCUGCCUCCUUGCCCAGCCUGGCUCCACAUUUUCCUCCCCGGACCAUUUGACCCUGCACCCAUCCUUCCUCCAUCUCCUUCGCUUUUGCAUCCUCUGCCGCCUUUACCUUUGCCACCCAUAACAACCUGAUCGCGAAAAAAAAUUGGCUGCACGAAACACUGUCCUGCCAUGCCCAAUGUAAUGUUUAUCUACCCACCUCUUUGGUUUUUUCUAGUUCGUUGUGCAGGGCUUGUUUGGUCACCUCCACCUCAAUGAGGCUCUGUCUCAGCUUCUCGUUCUCGUCUUCCGUCUUUGCGCGGGUCUCCUCCACCUUCUCCAACUCGUGGUGAAGCCUCACGGACACAUCUUUGGCCACCUGCCCCAGCGGCGACGUGUUGAUUUUUGAAACCCGUGAACGAAACG